AGCAGUCGCCGCGGUAAUACGAAGGGGGCUAGCGUUGUUCGGAAUUACUGGGCGUAAAGCGCACGUAGGCGGAUAUUUAAGUCAGGGGUGAAAUCCCCGAGCUCAACUCUGGAACUGCCUUUGAUACUGGGUAUCUUGAGUAUGGAAGAGGUGAGUGGAAUUCCGAGUGUAGAGGUGAAAUUCGUAGAUAUUCGGAGGAACACCAGUGGCGAAGGCGGCUCACUGGUCCAUUACUGACGCUGAGGUGCGAAAGCGUGGGGAGCAAACAGGAUUAGAGACCCCCGUAGUCCCUGUCUCUUAUAC
Molecule: ribosomal RNA, 303 nt
Filed under: uncultured bacterium
Lineage: Bacteria
Description: partial 16S ribosomal RNA
Rfam family: Bacterial small subunit ribosomal RNA
Source: RNAcentral